This 846-nucleotide ribosomal RNA is filed under the name Coniothyrium glycines. Its description in RNAcentral is "partial large subunit ribosomal RNA". It matches the Rfam family "Eukaryotic large subunit ribosomal RNA", at positions 76 to 940 of the family's 3401-position model. The record is from RNAcentral. Lineage: Eukaryota; Fungi; Ascomycota; Dothideomycetes; Pleosporales; Coniothyriaceae.
UGCCCUAGUAACGGCGAGUGAAGCGGCAACAGCUCAAAUUUGAAAUCUGGCUCUUUUAGAGUCCGAGUUGUAAUUUGCAGAGAGCGCUUUGGCGUUGGCAGCGGUCCAAGUUCCUUGGAACAGGACGUCACAGAGGGUGAGAAUCCCGUACGUGGUCGCUAACCUUCGCCGUGUAAAGCCUCUUCGACGAGUCGAGUUGUUUGGGAAUGCAGCUCUAAAUGGGAGGUAAAUUUCUUCUAAAGCUAAAUACUGGCCAGAGACCGAUAGCGCACAAGUAGAGUGAUCGAAAGAUGAAAAGCACUUUGGAAAGAGAGUCAAACAGCACGUGAAAUUGUUGAAAGGGAAGCGCUUGCAGCCAGACUUGCCCGCAGUUGCUCAUCCGAACUUUUGUUCGGUGCACUCUUCUGCGGGCAGGCCAGCAUCAGUUUGGGCGGUUGGAUAAAGGUCUCUGUCAUGUACCUCCUCUCGGGGAGGCCUUAUAGGGGAGACGACAUGCAACCAGCCUGGACUGAGGUCCGCGCAUCUGCUAGGAUGCUGGCGUAAUGGCUGUAAGCGGCCCGUCUUGAAACACGGACCAAGGAGUCUAACAUCUAUGCGAGUGUUUGGGUGUCAAGCCCGAGCGCGUAAUGAAAGUGAACGGAGGUGGGAACCCUUAAGGGUGCACCAUCGACCGAUCCUGAUGUCUUCGGAUGGAUUUGAGUAAGAGCAUGGCUGUUGGGACCCGAAAGAUGGUGAACUAUGCUUGAAUAGGGUGAAGCCAGAGGAAACUCUGGUGGAGGCUCGCAGCGGUUCUGACGUGCAAAUCGAUCGUCAAAUUUGGGCAUAGGGGCGAAAGACUAAUCGAAC